This is a non-coding RNA of Ictidomys tridecemlineatus (thirteen-lined ground squirrel), 71 nucleotides long. Lineage: Eukaryota; Metazoa; Chordata; Mammalia; Rodentia; Sciuridae. The record is from Rfam.
GUGGCUGUGGCUCAGUGGUACAGCACUUGCCUCACAGGUAUGAGACCCUGGGUUCAAUCCUCAGCACCACA